AGGUGGAUUGGAUGAUUUCAGAAAGAAACUUUUUUAGUGUGGGGGUCAUGAAACAAUAAUAAAGAUAGGACGUGCCGUUCGGGGGCAGAGUGGCAGGUGGUGCAUGGUUGUUGUCAGCUGGUGUCGUGAGAUGUUGGGUUAAGUCCCGCAACGAGCGCAACCCUUGAUCUUAGUUGCCAGCAUUCAGUUGGGCACUCUAAGGUGACUGCCGGUGACAAACCGGAGGAAGGUGGGGAUGACGUCAAAUCAUCAUGCCCCUUAUGACCUGGGCUACACACGUGCUACAAUGGACAGAACAAAGGGCAGCGAAACCGCGAGGUUAAGCCAAUCCCACAAAUCUGUUCUCAGUUCGGAUCGCAGUCUGCAACUCGACUGCGUGAAGCUGGAAUCGCUAGUAAUCGCGGAUCAGCAUGCCGCGGUGAAUACGUUCCCGGGCCUUGUACACACCGCCCGUCACACCACGAGAGUUUGUAACACCCGAAGUCGGUGAGGUAACCUUUUAGGAGCCAGCCGCCGA
RNAcentral lists this ribosomal RNA (517 nucleotides) under Bacillus velezensis. Its description in RNAcentral is "bacterial SSU rRNA". It matches the Rfam family "Bacterial small subunit ribosomal RNA", at positions 939 to 1459 of the family's 1533-position model. The record is from RNAcentral. Lineage: Bacteria; Bacillati; Bacillota; Bacilli; Caryophanales; Bacillaceae.